This 1126-nucleotide long non-coding RNA is filed under the name Mytilus galloprovincialis (Mediterranean mussel). The record is from RNAcentral. Lineage: Eukaryota; Metazoa; Mollusca; Bivalvia; Mytilida; Mytilidae.
GUUAUAAUAAUGCUUUGAUACAAACCUUAUUUACAAAAUACACAAAUAUCCAGACAAUGACAGGAAAUAUAAGUGAUAAAUGUCUGCCAGUUAAUUCUGAUAGUAUACUAGAAAUUUUUCCAAGUAAAAAUUCUGAUAGAACAUUGGCCUCAGUUACAGUUCUGAAUGAAAUAAUAGUUGGCAUCAGUUACAAAUCUGAUAGUAUAAUAGAAAUUGGCCUCAGUCAGAAUUCUGAUACCAAUAUAGAAAUUUUCCUCGGUGAAAUUGAACCACCAAUCAUACGUGCCAGGAACACACAACAAGGAAAGAAGCGCUGUCUGUCCAACAGUCCCAAGCCAAAUAUCUAACCACGAAAUCGCAAUGGAUAUCAUCAGAACUUACUAAAGGGGGUAAUAUCCAAUUCCUCAAUAUGAUCAACCCUAAACAAUAUAUUAAGGGUAAUACUGCAUUCUAUAGACCAUCAAUACUUUUUUUUUAUAACAAAAUCCAUACUAUAAAUUAUUACACUUUUAGUCAAAUUGUUUGACUAUAAUUUGUACAAAAUCAUGACUUGUACACACCAUAUACAACAAACAUAUAAAUCUCGACCAAUUUUGAAUCCUCUAAAUAUACUCUACUACUUGUCGUUGUGGUAUAUUAAUAGUGUUAAUGAACAUAGCACUCAAAUUCGGUUCUAUCUCAUUUAAGCAGUGUUGGGGACUUUUAUAGAUGCUUAUGCGGCAUGGGUUUUGCUCAUUGUUGAAGGCCUACGGUGACCUAUAGUUGUUAAUUUCUGUGUCCUUUAGUCUCUUGUGGCGAGUUGUCUCAUUAGCAAUCAUACCACAUCUUCUUUUUUUAUAUUGAACUAUGACUGUUAUAAUCAUUUAUCAGAACAUUUCUACAACAAUGAUGUAUAACAUUUUAUAUUUUUUUAUUUUAAUGCUCAAUGUGUUUUGUAAGGCCAAAUAAAAAUAUAUGUGUGGUUCCAGUAACCCUACCGUCCCUACUUUUUCGGCUUAAAAAUAGCCUACCCUAAAGAUUUUAUUGUCAUUUUUUCAUUAAGCACUGUUAAAGUCAGAAUGUUGCUCCCAUAGAGUCAAUGUAAAAAAAAAAAAAAAAAAAAAAAAAAAUCCCUACCUACCUACCC